CUACGGAGGAUGCGAGCGUUAUCCGGAUUUAUUGGGUUUAAAGGGUGCGUAGGCGGAAAGUUAAGUCAGCGGUGAAACGCAGGUGCUCAACACCUGACCUGCCGUUGAGACUGGUUUUCUAGAAUGCGGAUGCUGUGGGAGGAAUGUGUGGUGUAGCGGUGAAAUGCAUAGAUAUCACACAGAACACCGAUUGCGAAGGCAUCUCACAAAGCCGCGAUUGACGCUGAGGCACGAAGGUGCGGGGAUCGAACAGGAUUAGAUACCCUGGUAGUCCGCACAGUAAACGAUGAUAACUCGCUGUCGGCGAUAGACAGUCGGUGGCCAAGCGAAAGCGAUAAGUUAUCCACCUGGGGAGUACGUCGGCAACGAUGAAACUUAAAUGAAUUGGCGGGG
This 393-nucleotide ribosomal RNA is filed under the name uncultured bacterium. RNAcentral describes it as "partial 16S ribosomal RNA". It matches the Rfam family "Bacterial small subunit ribosomal RNA", at positions 523 to 918 of the family's 1533-position model. The record is from RNAcentral.